This 468-nucleotide ribosomal RNA is filed under the name uncultured bacterium. Its description in RNAcentral is "partial 16S ribosomal RNA". It matches the Rfam family "Bacterial small subunit ribosomal RNA", at positions 28 to 507 of the family's 1533-position model. The record is from RNAcentral.
GACGAACGCUGGCGGCGUGCUUAACACAUGCAAGUCGAACGGAAAGGCCCUGCUUUUGUGGGGUGCUCGAGUGGCGAACGGGUGAGUAACACGUGAGUAACCUGCCCCUGACUUUGGGAUAACUUCAGGAAACUGGGGCUAAUACCGGAUAGGAGCUCCUGCUGCACGGUGGGGGUUGGAAAGUUUCGGCGGUUGGGGAUGGUCUCGAGGCUUAUCAGCUUGUUUGUGGGGUAGUGGCUUACCAAGGCUUUGACGGGUAGCCGGCAUGAGAGGGUGACCAGCGACAUUGGGACUGCGGUAGGGAGCAGACUCCUACGGGAGGCAGCAGUGGGAAGUCUUACACAACGGGGGGACGCGUGAUGCGGCAGCGCCGCGUGCGGGAUGACGUCCUUCGAGUUGUAAACCGCUUUCGACUGUGCCGUAGCGUGAGUGACGGUACUGGGUAAAGAAGCACCGGCUAACUACGUG